GGUGGCGCCCGAAGAGCCGGUCAAGCAAAGCACUCUUCAACGCGAAGUCGGUCGCCCGGACGCCCAGAGUUUGGUCCCGUACCGUCAGACAUUCGGGAGGUGAAAAUAAAGGACGGUACGUGGAAAAAUCAGACAAAGUCGGACCCCCGUAUUUACUGCGGAAUCGUCGAGAUUGACCCGAAAAUAAGAAGAUCAACCAUCGGUCACGCGGAGGUUUACGUAGGUUAACGUGCGGGCGCGACACGCUUCCGUGUACGUUGGAGACGAUUCCCUGCGGUUCCUUUUCGAGCGAUUCUUUAGAAACGCAGAGGAAUAAUCCCUCGUUGAAGGGAAGCGACGGCUACACGGGCGCGCGUGCGCGUCUUUGGGUCGGGCACCAUCCAUCACGUUUGAUUUCGUGGUCUUUUCAGCCGGCGGUCCACAAAAAUGAUCUCUUUGAAGAUGCGUCUCGUCUCUCGUGACAAGCGACUGCACAACGGGGCUCGGGUUUUGUAAACGGUGUCCCCCGGUUGAAUGUCUCCCACGCUCUGGAGCAGCUGUUUUCGACGGGCAAUACGGCGCCGUCAAAAACGCCGAGGUCAGGCGCACGAGCCGCAUCGGUGCGUAUUUCUUGAUACGAGCGUCCAUCUGAGACGUGACGCUGUGGCGACCCGUCACGGGACAAGCCGAAAUGAACUUUUUCUUACGGAUAUACGGUACGUGUUUUUGACAAUGGUUCCCAUUUAAAAAAAAAAUAAAAUGAAUCAAUCAAAAAUGUGCUUGUCUUGACUUUGGAUAAAAGGAAGCGAUUCGGGAUAGCCGGACUUUGAGGGCAAAAUAUCCACGACUACAAAUACUUGAAAAGAGGCCACGUAAAUGAAGGACUUUCUAAGAGUAAUAUUGAAGCGACACGUAUGACGGCUUUGAAAAGGAAAAGUAUUGAAAGUAUUAUUUGUGGCCACAAGGCGGCGGCGGCGUUGUGGGAAAUUGUACAUCUCGGUGCUUGCGACUGGCGGUGAUUUUAUAUUUGUAUUAAUUUUUAAUUUUUUUUUUUAGGCACACACGUUUGUGCGAAUAAAUGCGCCGCUCGGAUCCGACGUGGCUCUUUUUUAUUAUUAUGAAUUUGUUUUUUUUUUUGGGGGGGGGUGGCGUUAAUUGGCGACACGUGUAUACAAAUGCACGCAGGUGGCCUAAUGGGCAGGCAGUAAAAUGGCGAGCAAGCGAACUUUUGAUGUUCGGACACGUUCGUAACGGUGGCGACGUGCUUUAUUUUGAUUUUUGCAAGCUUUUCCCCGGCAGAGGAGCAGCAGCGUCGAAGGAAAGAAUGCGUGUUUUGUCGCAGGGCAGAGAGUGAAGUGGCGCAGACAAGGGUCGGGAGCAGAGCUUGGCGCAUGGGAGCGUUUGUGCGAAAGUAGCGCAGAGGGGUGAUUUUUGUGUCGGUGGACUGUAGGCGCAGUUUGGUUUUUGGGUGUGUUGGAAAGGGCGGAGGAGACGGCGGAUCUCGCGAGACGGGGAGAGCUGCCGGAUGAGGGGAUAAGCUGGAUAAAGGCGACUUCCUCCGGAGUGAAGUGCUCGGAUUCCAUACCUGCCUGGAAUGAAGGGUCAGAAGGCUUUUGAAUGAUGAAAAUCUGGAUCAAGAUGACGAGGAGGAAUCCCGGCCCGAAGUGGAAAAGUUUUGCCGAGCACCGACGUUACCGGGAGAGUAUGACUGUAGUUUAAUGUUGGGGUUUGUGUGCACUUAUUUUCCUCACUGGCCAGUAUGAAGAGGGUUUGAAAUGAGGACUUUGUCGCGAGGAAUGGAACGUUUGAGGACCACUUGACGUGUACACGGUUGGAAGAUGAACGUCUUGCUUGAGGAUGAAGCGGAAGAAAUGGGCUGCACUUACAAGAGGAAUAGUUCCUUGGCUAUUUGGAGAGCAAAGGUGAAAAUGGAGGAUGCGCUGAGCACUCCAAAGAGGCCCAAGAUGACGGUUUGGAGACGAGGCUGCGCACCGGUAAGCGGACGUGACGGGAGAGUCCAGUUUGUUUGUUGCCUGGUGGAGCAGGAGAGCUUUUGGACGGGAAGCAGAAUGGGCUCAGAAGCAGCCGGAUGGGGUAGGGCGUGCGUGCACACACACAAG
Molecule: long non-coding RNA, 2099 nt
Organism: Syngnathoides biaculeatus (alligator pipefish)
Lineage: Eukaryota; Metazoa; Chordata; Actinopteri; Syngnathiformes; Syngnathidae
Exons: 12
Source: RefSeq, a predicted model, not a curated record